AGCAGUUUGAUCCUGGCUCAGGAUGAACGCUAGCGGCAGGCUUAACACAUGCAAGUCGAGUAUAGUUCUUCGGAACUAGAGACCGGCGCACGGGUGCGUAACGCGUAUGCGGUCUACCUUUCACAGAGGGAUAGCCCAGAGAAAUUUGGAUUAAUACCUCAUAGUAUUAUAGAGUGGCAUCACAGACUAUAAUUAAAGUCAUAACGGUGAAAGAUGAGCAUGCGUCCCAUUAGCUAGUUGGUAAGGUAACGGCGAUGGCAACGAUGGGUAGGGGUCCUGAGAGGGAGAUCCCCCACACUGGUACUGAGACACGGACCAGACUCCUACGGGAGGCAGCAGUGAGGAAUAACUGAAUGGGCGCAAGCCUGAUCCAGCCAUGCCGCGUGCAGGAUGACGGUCCUAUGGAUUGUAAACUGCUUUUGUACAGGAAGAAACACUGGUUCGUGAACCAGCUUGACGGUACUGUAAGAAUAAGGACUAACUCCGUGCCAGCAGCCGCGGUAAUACGGAGGAUCCAAGCGUUAUCCGGACAAUCAUUGGGUUUAAAGGGUCCGUAGGCGGUUUAGUAAGUCAGUGGUGAAAGCCCAUCGCUCAACGGUGGAACGGCCAUUGAUACUGCUAAACUUGAAUUAUUAGGAAGUAACUAGAAUAUGUAGUGUAGCGGUGAAAUGCUUAGAGUAGCAUGGAAUACCAAUUGCGAAGGCAGGUUACUACUAAUGGAUUGACGCUGAUGGACGAAAGCGUGGGUAGCGAACAGGAUUAGAUACCCUGGUAGUCCACGCCGUAAACGAUGGAUACUAGCUGUUGGAAGCAAUCUACGUGGCUAAGCGAAAGUGAUAAGUAUCCCACCUGGGGAGUACGUUCGCAAGAAUGAAACUCAAAGGAAUUGACGGGGGCCCGCACAAGCGGUGGAGCAUGUGGUUUAAUUCGAUGAAGCGCGAGGAACCUUACCAAGGCUUAAAUGUAGAUUGACCGGUUUGGAAACAGACUUUCAGCAAGACAAUUUACAAGGUGCUGCAUGGAUGUCGUCAGCUCGUGCCGUGAGGUGUCAGGUUAAGUCCUAUAACGAGCGCAACCUACCUGUUGUUAGUUGCCAGCGAGUCAUGUCGGGAACUCUAACGAGACUGCCAGUGCAAACUGAGAGGAACCGGUGGGGAUGACGUCAAAUCAUCACGUUACGCCUUGGGCUACACACGUGCUACAAUGGCCCCUACAGAGAGCAGCCACUGGGUGACCAGGAGCGAAUCUAUAAAACCGGUCACAGUUCGGAUCGGAGUCUGCAACUCGACUCCGUGAACGAGGAAUCGCUAGUAAUCGGAUAUCAGCCAUGAUCCGGUGAAUACGUUCCCGGGCCUUGUACACACCGCCCGUCAAGCCAUGGAAGCUGGGGGUGCCUGAAGUCGGUGACCGCACCGCUGCCUAGGGUAAAACUGGUAACUAGGGCUAAGUCGUAACAAGGUAGCCGCAA
This 1468-nucleotide ribosomal RNA is filed under the name uncultured Flavobacterium sp. RNAcentral describes it as "bacterial SSU rRNA". It matches the Rfam family "Bacterial small subunit ribosomal RNA". Lineage: Bacteria; Pseudomonadati; Bacteroidota; Flavobacteriia; Flavobacteriales; Flavobacteriaceae. The record is from RNAcentral.